GGAUCAAUAUGUCGAUCGUGCCUUCGGUACGUACUGGUAUCAUUGGUCUCUCCUUUCUGACGAACCAUGAUGUCAUUAAUUUGGUGUUAUGGGGAGUUAGGACUGUUACUUUGAAAAAAUUAGAGUGUUUAAAGCAAGCUAACGCUUGAAUACAUUAGCAUGGAAUAACGGAAUAGGACGUUUGAUUCUAUUUUGUUGGUUUCUAGGAUCGACGUA
RNAcentral lists this ribosomal RNA (216 nucleotides) under Campeiostachys nutans. RNAcentral describes it as "Elymus nutans partial small subunit ribosomal RNA". The stretch from base 38 to 216 matches the Rfam family "Eukaryotic small subunit ribosomal RNA", at positions 684 to 864 of the family's 1831-position model. Lineage: Eukaryota; Viridiplantae; Streptophyta; Magnoliopsida; Poales; Poaceae. The record is from RNAcentral.